CCCUUAGAUGUUCUGGGCCGCACGCGCGCUACACUGACGAAGUCAGCGAGCAUGUCCUACGCCGACAGGUGCGGGGAAUCUUGUCAAACUUCGUCGUGAUGGGGAUUGAUUAUUGAAAUUCUUGAUCAUCAACGAGGAAUUCCUAGUAAGCGCAAGUCAGCAGCUUGCGUUGAUUACGUCCCUGCCCUUUGUACACACCGCCCGUCGCUACUACCGAUUGAAUGGUUUAGUGAGAUCUUCGGAUCGGCGCCACUGCGGCUCAGCAAUGGGCUCGGUGGAUGCCGAAAAGUUGAUCAAACUUGAUCAUUUAGAGGAAGUAAAAGUCGUAACA
Molecule: ribosomal RNA, 331 nt
Filed under: uncultured eukaryote
Lineage: Eukaryota
Description: partial 18S ribosomal RNA
Rfam family: Eukaryotic small subunit ribosomal RNA
Source: RNAcentral